AUAGCGUAUAUUAAAGUUGUUGCAGUUAAAAAGCUCGUAGUUGGAUCUCAGGCGCAGGCGGGCGGUCCGGCUCGCGCCGGUUCACUGCCCGUUGUCUCCUGCCCUACCGUCUGCCGGCUCUCUCCCGCGGGUGCUCUUCACUGAGCGUCCCGGGUGGCCGGCGCGUUUACUUUGAAAAAAUUAGAGUGUUCAAAGCAGGCCUCGGCUGCCUGAAUAAUGGUGCAUGGAAUAAUGGAAUAGGACCUCGGUUCUAUUUUGUUGGUUUUCGGAACUGGAGGUAAUGAUUAACAGGGACAAACGGGGGCAUUCGUAUUGCGGCGUUAGAGGUGAAAUUCUUGGAUCGCCGCAAGACGAGCUACUG
This 361-nucleotide ribosomal RNA is filed under the name uncultured eukaryote. RNAcentral describes it as "SSU rRNA". It matches the Rfam family "Eukaryotic small subunit ribosomal RNA", at positions 594 to 945 of the family's 1831-position model. The record is from RNAcentral.